This is a non-coding RNA of Solanum lycopersicum (tomato), 5770 nucleotides long. The record is from RefSeq and is a predicted model, not a curated record. Lineage: Eukaryota; Viridiplantae; Streptophyta; Magnoliopsida; Solanales; Solanaceae.
AAACUCUUUGUUUUAAAGACAGACUGCAAAUGCUUGUCUUGAUUACUUUCUUCAUAGAUGUUUGGUGCAUGAUACUUCUAAGGUUUGUGUGUUUAUCUAUCUAAUGUUUGGUGCCUGAUACUUCAAGGUUUGUGUGUUUAUCUUGGCACCUUGGGUUUUUUAGUAUACUAGAAAACUUUUACAUCGUCUAUUUGCUGAAAUUGGAUUUGUUAGAGAUAUCUGUUGUGUUUCCCUCUUGGGUAGCGACCGCAGCAUAGCUGUUAUUCCUCCAAAAAAACCAAACAGUACAUGCUGGAACUGUCUUUCAGGUUAUCUUCAAAUGCCUUGUGAUCCUUCUUCCUUCACAGCAACAUAACAGUUAUUUUAGGGAUAUAGGCAUAACUCAUACAGUCUAAUAAAUCGUAAUCAUAGGUCCAACAAUUGCCUGUCACUACACAAAUUAAAGUGCACAUUUGCUCUUGGGUGCUAAACUUUUGGAUUAAGAAUGGUAGAGUAGUCUUGGAUUGUGGUUUGCAGACGUAACUGAUUACUGUUUCUAGCCAAUUUUCUCGGUAGUAAUUCUAAAGAUCACUUAUGAACUGAAUUUCGUUGUCAUGAUCACAUGCCUUUCUUUCUAAUUUGUUGAUCUUACAACAAGUUGUGAUUGGCUUAUCCUCUCUGGUUCCUUCAUCUUCCUCUUCUCUUCUACAUCUUGCUGAUAGGAGUUUAGUCUUCGUCUUAGCUGAAAUUUCAAUUUCAGUUGCCAUUAACAUGCAGUUGCACAUCCUCUAUGGUUCCUUCAUCUUCCUCUUCUCUUCUACAUCUUGCUGAUAGGAGUUUAGUCUUCGUCUUAGCUGGAAUUUUAGCUAGAAAGUAUGCAACCAGUCUUUGUAGAAGUAUAUUUGCUUCUUGAAAGGAAACUGUUUGGGUUUCUGUGUCUUGUAUUUCCUCCUUAAGCAUUAUUUUUAUUUUGCUCGUUCUGCACGAAUUUGCUACAAAAUGAUGUGUACUUGACUGGCUUAUAUUUGUCAAUGACACAGUCACACAGGACAGUGGUCAUAGUUCAGUCCAAUACAAUGCACCUCUGUCUUUGGUCAGUGAGGUGUAGGGUCCAAUGGCUUUUAGGUCAUCACCAAAUUUAGCUUUCUUCUUUCUCCCCAAUUUCUCAUUUUGUUUAUUGAAAGAGAACAAAUGCUAUCCAUUAAGUAAAGUGAGGGUUUGUUAUAGUGAUUCGUGUGGUUGGUUACCCCUUUGAAAGUUGCAGGUCCUUGCUAAUAAGAAUAGCAACAUACCCAGUGAAAUCUCACAAAGUGGGGUCUGGGGAGGGUACGUAGCGUGUACGCAGACCUUACCACUACCUCGUGAAGUUAGAGAGACUGUUUUCAAAAGACCCUUGGAUCAAGGGUCUUUGCUACUGCUAGGGGUAAAUAAUUCUUCAACAUUGCCACAAGUAGGUAGUCUACGUCUAUUAGAUUCCUAGAAAGAUGAGCAACUAAGAACAGAGGGAUUUAAAAAAAAAUGAAAGGUAUAUCUUUGAUCUUUAGAUUUGAAGAUAAGAUGAAAAACCAGAAGGUAAAGAUAUAGAGAUCUUCCAUUCUUUCAAAAGCCAAAUACAGUGGAUUACUUUCAUAUCAACAUGUGUUCAUGAUCUUGGUGGAAUUCCUAAUCUAGUAAGUUUUGGUGAAUAACUGGCCCUCCUUGUACACUCAAAGAGAACUAGAAAUUUCUGAAAAAGGGUAACUAAUAAGUAUAAUUAAAGUAAGUCUAUAAAUAAGAUGUAGAAGGCCUUGAAGGAGGAGCCCAGAAAACAUCAUGGGGCAUUCGGCCAUUAGACAAAACAUUAGUAGGUAAUUGUACAUUUCUCUCAUAUGAGAAGCAACUGUUUCCUGCUUCAGGCCUCUGUUUUGUCUACAUGCCUGCUCUAUAAUGCCAUUUGCUUUAUAAUGCAACAUCUAGAUCUUGCUAGGUUCCUCCGAUUUCUCUUCCAGGUUUUACACUGCAUCUUUUUUUGUUUCCUAUUCUAUCUUCCACUGCCAAAGUUUUUGAAGCUUCCUUGUACUCUAGAACAUCUCCAGCCUCCUCACUCUUUUUUUGCAGUUGGCUUCUUCAUCACCAUGCCUGUGAACUGGUUUUGUUUGCAGUCUUUUGAACCGGUAAUUUUUUUGUUAAGAAGUCCCACAUCGAUGGGAAUGUGGUCUCCUUAUGUGGAUUUGGACAAACCUCUCCUCAUGAGCUAGCUUUUGAGGUUGAGUUAGGCGCAGCCGUGCAGGUGUCAUAUUUUAACAUGGUAUCGGAGUCAGGUCCAUCCCAAUUUGUUGUUCACCGAUGUUGGGCCCCUAUUUAUAAGUGUUCACGCUCUAGUUGAGGUCUGGGUGUGCGGGGAAGUGUUAAGAAGUCCCACAUUGGUAGAGGAAUGGGAAUUUGUUCUAUAUGGACUUGGACAAACCUGCCCUCAUAAGCUAGCUUUUAAGGCUGAGUUAGACCCUGGUGUCAUAUCUAAACAUAUUUAUUCCCUAGUAAGCCUAAUGCUUACCACAUCCAAAAUUUUAUGCUUUAUAGAAACUAAUUGCAGUAAUCUCGUGAAGUCAACUAACUGAACUUCCUCUUCUAUAUAUUGUUCUUUACACCAAGAACAUAAAGAAGUUAUGACUGUCCACUUGAUCUUCUAUAUGGAGCUCUCUUUACCUUCAAAAAUCCUCUCAUUUCUCUACUUCCAAAUGUUCCACCAAAUAAAGUCAGGUAUUGUUUUCCACCACCAAAUCUUCUAGCACUUACUACCUCCCAUCCUAAUCCAACAACUUAAAAGAUAAGCAGUAGGCUAUGGCAUAGACCAGUUCACCUUAGCUAAAUUGACGAAUGAUGCCCACCCUUGUGCUGUAACUCUUACAUGAUGAGCAUCAUGAAGCAAUGUAGGUUUCCUUUUUUAGUACAUCGUGAAUCCGACAAGUUAUAGCUCUUCUGACUACUAGCAUGGUGAAGCAUUUCAACUUAAUUGGUGCCUCAUUUUUUCAUACACACUUCCAGGGUCCUGUUGACCUCUCUGUUACUUUAGUCAGCCUCCUAUUGUACACCCCAUUUAUCAAGAAUAGUCCACCCUGAUGAUGUUUCCAUAACAUGUUAUCAGGUUCCAUAGAAACCAUUAUUAUUUGUUAUCUAUUUGCAUUAAAGGUUUAAAUUUGUAUUUUAACUUGGUACUUGGUUUCUCUGCUGAUAGUUUGGUUGAUUUUCAUUUUACCAAUAGUUUAGUUUGUUUCUACCAACUUUGGGGUUAAAAGGUGAAGUAGAGGAAAGAGUUGAACUUGCAGAUCAAGUGUUUAGCUAAAGUCUUGAUCAAGAUUAGGCUUGAUUGCAUGGAUUACUACGCAUUUCUCUCCUUGAUCUUCUUUCUAAAUAUGUGGCAUGCCUUUUGAAUUUUUUUUAAUAAAAAAUCUUGUCCGUUUAAAGUUAACUUUAUUGCUUUAGAUUUUCUUUGUCCAAAAUUUUCUGUAUAAUAAUACUAAUUUGAUAAAUUGUUGGGGGAAACAAGUCCAACAGUAGUAAAGAGGGUAGAACAGUGUCAUCAAAGACGCACUUAAGCCCUGAAGUGAGGCUCAAACGUGUUGAGCGCUUCGCCUCGCUUUUUGUGCGCUUCAGUGUCGUCAUUAAGGUUUUAAGGCAAACUUUUCCUUGUCAAUAAGCCUCUUCUGAAGAACCGACACUAUACAAUUAAUAUUUCACUUUAUCAUAAAUUUUUUUUCAAUUUCUUUGGUCAUAUCUCAGUCAUUCAUGUUUUAUAGUUAUUAGUCUUGGACUAAAACAUAUAUAUUUGUAUUCUUUUCUCUCUUUGUGCCUUUUGUCAUUGAAGCCCACACUUUAUUUGUGCUCUGCGCUUAAAGCCCCAACGGACCUUAGAACUUUUUUUGCGCUUUUUGCCUUUGAUAACACUGGGAUAGAACACUUGCAGCAAUAAAAAGUUUGGGAGCAACAAAUUUAAUAUCCAUGGAUUCUGGACAAACAAGCUAAUACCCCAACUCUGAUAAGAAAUAUGCUGAUAGAAAUUUAAGGUGCCGUGAACUCUACCAAUUAACGAUAGCUAAUGAAAAGCGUAUUCUUAAUAUGAAAAACUCUUGCUAGACUUCCAAAACUGGUACAUAUCAGAUCUAAAAUUAAUUAAACUCUGGAUAGGACACACCGUUUUACAACUACCCUUUUUCAAAAAAACACAAACUCUAUUUCACCGUUUUGCGCAAAUGCUUACUUCUUCCUCUGCAUGAAUAUGUCUUUUGACUUACUAUUCUGAACAUCUAUUCUGAUCAUUACCUGAUCCACACAGUUACUGAGCUUCCCUCAUUUCCCGCUUUUUACAUAGGAAGUCUUCAUUCUAUCUAUACGGAAGGUAAGUUACUGAAAGUUGUCAUAACUUCAGCCGAAUCUACAAAAAUUCAUUAAUAUUUAUUGACAAAUAUUUUUAUAUUAGGUUCAAGAUCAGGUGCUUGUAAUAAAAACUGCAAUACAGCUAAGCCGUCCAUUACUAAAGGUCCUUUGACAGCACAACCAUUGUUGAACAAGCGAUAUUUCAUCAACGAGCUCUUAGAUGUUGGCACAACGGCUUGUUCAGCAAUGAUUCUGCUGCCAAGUGAACUUUGGAUGACACUGGCUCAACACUCUUAAGUUCAUCCCAUCAGCUAUCACAGAGUUUUUAUUCCACUGAUAUGCCUUUCAUGCCUGCUGCACCCAGAACAUUGUUGCUCUAACACAGAGAAGAGCUUUCUUACUCUUUCCUAUUCGUUUUUUCUUUCAAUUUCCAUUUUUUUUGUCAAAUUUGGUUUUUUCUUCUCAGAUUGCUCAGCUGAAGUAGUGCUCUUAACAAAAGAAAUGCAAAACAAAUAUUGGUUCUUAAUAGGAAAAGCAAGUUAAAACUUAUAUUUUUAGGUAUAUUGGCUACCUAACAGUACCAUAGAUGUUGUCUGGGUUAUUGAUACAAAAGUAAUAAACUAUUCAUGCCAUUUUUUGUUACGAAUAUGAUAUACGCAACCAUUUCAAUUGAAGUGAUUUUGCUUUUCAGUUUUACAGGUGAAAACCAAAUUAAACCGAUCCCAGAUGCUGUUCAUGACGAAUCACUUUGUCUGGUUGAUAGUAACUAUAAUCAAAGUAAACCUAUUGAGAUUUGGAUGAUGAGAGAGUAUGGUGCAGCAGAUACAUGGUGAAGCAGUUCUGGGUUAGUUAACUAUUAUGAUGUAAGGUGUGAUCUAGAUGAGCUUGUGGUUACUCAUAAAUUGGUGAAGCCAAUGACUAUAAGGAAUAAUGGUGAAAUCAUAUGGAAAGUGAGCUGUAGAUUAUUGGUUUCAGUUGAUCAUGUAGUUGAAAAGUUUAAAGAUGUGUGGUUACUCAUAAAUUGGUGAAGCCAAUGACUAUAAGGAAUAACGGUGAAAUAAUAUGGAAAUUGAGCUGUAGGUUAUUGGUUUCAGUUGAUCAUGUAGUUGAAAAGUUUGAAGAUGUUGGCCAUGGUCACUCUACAAAUGGUUGGUGUCACAUUCCGCAUUAUGUCGAUUAUUACAAAGAGAGCUUAGUUUUACCUGAUAAAUGAACAGAUAAUUGUGUUGGAGAUGCUUGUGAAGAAAGAAAGAAAGAACAAAAGCUCUUUGUUAACUAGUUAGCUAUAUUGCACUUGAUUUACUGACUUUAGGUAAUGGCUAUGUUUUGGCUUUUGGCAAAAUGUAUGAACAGUUGAUAGUGGACUUGAUUACUUGAGUUCUGCAUAUUCUAUAUAUGAAACAGCCACAAAUUUAUAAAAAAGGUUUAUUUGUGCAUA